AUGAUGAGCAGCGGCAGGAUGAACGCGGCGGCCGGCGACGACUUACCGUUAGCAGCAAUGCAGCCGCCGCCCUACGUCGGCUUUGAGCUCGCCGCCAGCAUGAUGGCUGGUGGCGGAGGAGGAGGCCAGCCCCACGAGGGGGCGAUGAUACUCGACAACUUCCACUUCCCGGCGGCAGCGGCCGCCUUCAACCAGUUCCAGGAGGCGCCGCACCACCAGAUGCUGGCGCUGCCUUCCAACGGCAACGGCGGCUGUGGGCUGGUCCACAUGGCGCCGCCGCCCAUGUCCGGGAUGCAGCUGCAGAUGCCGCCGAUGGCCAUGCACGGUCACGGUGACGUGUGCCCGGCUCUUGGGAUGGUGAAGCGCGAGGGCGGCGCCGGGGACGCGGGGAGGAUAGACUUGAACCACGGCCAGCGGACCUGCUUCCCCACCGGCGACAUGAUGGCGGUGGACCCGAUGCUCAUGCGGUCCCGUCUUGGCAGCGUGUUCGACCUGGGAUUCGGCCGCGUCCACCGCCAGCCGCCUCGGUGCCAGGUGGAGUACUGCAAGGCGGACCUCUCCGGCGCCAAGCACUACCACCGGCGCCACAAGGUGUGCGAGUACCACGCCAAGGCGGCGCUUGUCUCCGCCGCCGGCAAGCAGCAGCGCUUCUGCCAGCAAUGCAGCAGGUUCCACGUGAUCACGGAGUUCGACCAGACCAAGAGGAGCUGCAGGAAGAGGCUCGCAGAGCACAACCGUCGCCGGAGGAAACCGGUGGCCAGCGGCGCGGGGGCGGUGUCCAAGGACUUGGCCGUGCCUUCCAGGAAACAAAACGCCGGGGGCAUCUCCAGCUCCUACGCCGGCGACAAUAACACUUUGAGCGCAACCUACACGAGCGCGACCAGCUGCCUUCAGCAGGGCCAGGCCAGGCUAGCGGCGGCGAGGCAGAUGACGCUCGCCCUGGGCGUGCCCCCGGAGAAGGACCGCCGCCAGCAGCAGCUCAGCAACUCCAUGCAGCUCCACCACCAUCAGGAGCAGCAACACUUCAUCACCUCCCUCCUGCACAAUAGCAACAUCAUGUCACGUUCGUCGGUGUGCUCCAGCACGAUGCCGUCCGCGGCGGUGGCCAACAGCCAGGUCUUCGACCAGCAAAACGACAACACCAAUGGCAGCAACCACGCCAACAACGGCAUCCAUAUGUUUGAGGUGGAAUUCAUGUAG
This 1200-nucleotide ribosomal RNA is filed under the name Triticum aestivum (bread wheat). Its description in RNAcentral is "partial small subunit ribosomal RNA". Lineage: Eukaryota; Viridiplantae; Streptophyta; Magnoliopsida; Poales; Poaceae. The record is from RNAcentral.